RNAcentral lists this transfer RNA (78 nucleotides) under Marine Group III euryarchaeote. RNAcentral's name for it is "tRNA-Glu". It matches the Rfam family "tRNA". Rfam says of the family: Transfer RNA (tRNA) molecules are approximately 80 nucleotides in length. Lineage: Archaea; Methanobacteriati; Thermoplasmatota; Thermoplasmata; Candidatus Thermoprofundales. The record is from RNAcentral.
GCUCCUGUAGUGUAGUCCGGCCCAUCAUUUCGGCUUCUCGAGCCGAGCACCCGGGUUCAAAUCCCGGCAGGAGCACCA